Non-coding RNA from Podarcis lilfordi (Lilford's wall lizard), 1727 nucleotides. NCBI's taxonomy places the organism in Eukaryota, Metazoa, Chordata, Lepidosauria, Squamata, Lacertidae. The record is from the annotation of a GenBank genome assembly.
GCAGGAGAAAGGUCAAAGGAUGGUCCUGUGGUCCAAGGCGAACUGUGCAAAUAUCGUGGUCCGCAAUGGUGCGGCCCUUUGCGGGCCCUCGGCGUUCGACCCCUUCAUUCGGCUGCGAGGGCCCAAUCGCCGCUCAUCCCGUGGAAUCCCAUCCAAUCCGAGAAGGGAUUCCCUGCUAGCAGUGCGGGCCACAUUCGUGCGUCAGCUGCGGCGAGCGGCGGAGCCCGCUCCCAGGUUGGCGCCACUUGGAUGGCCGCGGAGGACGCCCCGGGGGCGCUGCCCCCUAACUGGGCGUCACGGAGGAGCAGCAGCCGCCACUGUCAGGCGGAAGAAGCCCCGGGGAGGUUUUGGAGGAGCUUCUGGAAGCAGCCCCCCCUCUUCCCCGCCCGCAGCCCCCAAAGCAGACAAGCAAGGGGAACUGGACCCACCUGGAGGGAGAGAGCCGGCAGGCGAGCCGAGGUGGCUGUGCCUUCGGUGCCCCCGCACGACAGUGGCAAGAAGCGGCUAUGAUUGUUUUUAUUAUUGGUUGUUAGCUGCCCUGAGCCCGGUCUUGGCUGGUGAGGGCGGGGUAUAAAGAAAAAAUUAUUAUUAUUGCCUCCGGAAGCAAAAAGUUCCUCUUAGCAUUUUUCAUUUGGGUGAAGAAGCUGUGAUUCCUGCAUUGCAGGGAGUUGGGCUAGACGACCCUUGAGAUCCCAUCCAACUCUACAAUGAUAUGAUUCUAUGAUGGGGAAUGCGAGUGGCGCUGUGGGUUAAACCACAGAGCCUACGGCUUCCCAAUCAGAAGGUCUGCGGUUCGAAUCCCCACGAUGGGGUGAGCUCCCGUUGCUCGGUCCCAGCUCCUGCCAACCUAGCAGUUUGAAAGCACGUCAAGUGCAAGUAGAUAAAUAGGUACCGCUCCGGCGGGAAGGUAAACGGCGUUUCCGUGCGCUGCUCUGGUUCGCCAGAAGCGGCUUAGUCAUGCUGGCCGCAUGACCUGGAAGCUGUACGCCAGCUCCCUCGGCCAAUAAAGUGAGAUGAGCACCGCAACCCCAGAGUCGGCCACGACUGGACCUAACGGUCAGGGGUCCCUUUACCUUUAUGAUGGGGAAGAGUCAUUGCUCCAUGAGGAGAGCGCCUGCCUUGAAUGUGCAAGGUCCCUGUCUACAUCCCCAGCUUCCUCUUCCUGAAGCUCUGGAGAGCCACUUCUAGUCAGUGUUUGGCAAUACAGAGAUGGGUGGACCAAGUGCAAGGCAGCUUCCUGUGGUCCUAUGGUUGGCCAUCGCUUGGGAGAGAGCCAGUGUAGUGUAGGUGGUUAAGAGUGGUAGACUCGUAAUCUGGUGAACUGGGUUCGCUUCCCCACUCUUCCACAUGCAGCUGCUGGGUGGCCUUCGGCUAGUCACACUUCUCUGAAGUCUCUCAGCCUCACUCACCUCACAGAGUGUUUGUUGUGGGAGAGGAAGAGAAAGAUUGUUAGCUGCUUUGAGACUCUUUAGGGUAGUGAUAAAGCGGGAUAUCAGAUCCAAAUUCUUCUUCUUCUUCGUCUUCUUCUUCUUCUUCUUCUUCUUCUUCUUCCUCUUCUUCUUCUUCUUCUUCAGCCCCAGUGUCCAUAACUGCAAAAAGCAGCUGUCUCCACUCUACCCUUCGAGGUGGUAAGGAGAGGAAGAUUGGGCCUGUUAAACCUGUAUUUUAAAUUGGUGGGUUUUUUUCCUAUUAUGUUUUUACUGUAAGUUUACUGGUGUUAGCCGCCC